CCCUGUGUGGUGCAAAUGGUUAACACACUUGGCUUCUAACCAAAAGGUUGGCAGUUCUAGUCCACCCAGAGGCU
RNAcentral lists this transfer RNA (74 nucleotides) under Loxodonta africana (African savanna elephant). It matches the Rfam family "tRNA". Rfam says of the family: Transfer RNA (tRNA) molecules are approximately 80 nucleotides in length. Their secondary structure includes four short double-helical elements and three loops (D, anti-codon, and T loops). Further hydrogen bonds mediate the characteristic L-shaped molecular structure. tRNAs have two regions of fundamental functional importance: the anti-codon, which is responsible for specific mRNA codon recognition, and the 3' end, to which the tRNAs corresponding amino acid is attached (by aminoacyl-tRNA synthetases). tRNAs cope with the degeneracy of the genetic code in two manners: having more than one tRNA (with a specific anti-codon) for a particular amino acid; and 'wobble' base-pairing, i.e. permitting non-standard base-pairing at the 3rd anti-codon position. Lineage: Eukaryota; Metazoa; Chordata; Mammalia; Proboscidea; Elephantidae. The record is from Rfam by way of RNAcentral.